UACGAAGGGGGCUAGCGUUGCUCGGAAUCACUGGGCGUAAAGCGCACGUAGGCGGAUUGUUAAGUCAGGGGGGAAAUCCUGGAGCUCAACUCCAGAACUGCCUUUGAUACUGGCGAUCUCGAGUCCGGGAGAGGUGAGUGGAACUGCGAGUGUAGAGGUGAAAUUCGUAGAUAUUCGCAAGAACACCAGUGGCGAAGGCGGCUCACUGGCCCGGUACUGACGCUGAGGUGCGAAAGCGUGGGGAGCAAACGGG
RNAcentral lists this ribosomal RNA (253 nucleotides) under uncultured bacterium. RNAcentral's name for it is "partial 16S ribosomal RNA". It matches the Rfam family "Bacterial small subunit ribosomal RNA", at positions 524 to 776 of the family's 1533-position model. The record is from RNAcentral.